RNAcentral lists this transfer RNA (130 nucleotides) under Xylariales sp. No.14919. Its description in RNAcentral is "fungal sp. No.14919 tRNA". It matches the Rfam family "tRNA". From Rfam's summary of the family: Transfer RNA (tRNA) molecules are approximately 80 nucleotides in length. Their secondary structure includes four short double-helical elements and three loops (D, anti-codon, and T loops). Further hydrogen bonds mediate the characteristic L-shaped molecular structure. tRNAs have two regions of fundamental functional importance: the anti-codon, which is responsible for specific mRNA codon recognition, and the 3' end, to which the tRNAs corresponding amino acid is attached (by aminoacyl-tRNA synthetases). tRNAs cope with the degeneracy of the genetic code in two manners: having more than one tRNA (with a specific anti-codon) for a particular amino acid; and 'wobble' base-pairing, i.e. permitting non-standard base-pairing at the 3rd anti-codon position. Lineage: Eukaryota; Fungi; Ascomycota; Sordariomycetes; Xylariales. The record is from Rfam by way of RNAcentral.
GCCCGGUUAGCUCAAUCGGUAGAGCGUGAGACUCUUAAUCUCAAGGUUGCGGGUGAGUGGCAAGAAAAAAACAUAAUAAGUAUCAACGAGUACUAAUCCUAGCGCCUAGGUUCGACCCCCGCAUCGGGCU